Mauremys reevesii (Reeves's turtle) is the source of this 535-nucleotide long non-coding RNA. RefSeq lists it as uncharacterized. The transcript has 5 exons. The record is from RefSeq and is a predicted model, not a curated record. Lineage: Eukaryota; Metazoa; Chordata; Testudines; Geoemydidae.
ACCCGACCAAUCUGACCCAAGGCCAGGGGGAUAUCUGCUGACAGAUAUGGAUAGCUGUUUAUCCUGUUUGACUGUUAGUCGAGCCCGUUCUUUUCAUCCAUCUACAUCAGAUCUAAACAGGAGCAGUUCUUGCCAUUGUUCUGAAUCUACACAGAAACCUGCUCACUCAGACAUCAGGCAUAACCAAUGAGACAGACAGGAUAUGGGCCAGGCAGAACACUGCCUCAGCUGCUCCAAGUUGAGAUCUCUUUGCCCCCACAACUCCAGAAGGUGUCUCCAACACGCUUUGUCUCUCUAAGGUCAUAUCUCCGCCAUCAAGGAAGGUGUGAUCAUCUCCUCUCCAGCAUCUGAUGCCGUCCCCCCCAUUUCAUGCUCCAGUUUGUUUUCUAAAUCUGGCUCUGACACAAGGAGCCACUUCCUUCUUGUGAUGAUGGAUCCCUGAUGAUGAUUAUAUUUUAAAAAGCAAUUCAAGGUGGUGGUACUUGUAAUUUGUACAAUGACUGCAGUUGCAUCUCUGAAGCCCUUGCCCCGAUUU